GCCCGACUAGCUCAGUCGGUAGAGCAUGAGACUCUUAAUUUUAGAGUUGUGGGUUCAAUCCCCAUGUUUGGAG
Caranx melampygus (bluefin trevally) is the source of this 73-nucleotide non-coding RNA. Lineage: Eukaryota; Metazoa; Chordata; Actinopteri; Carangiformes; Carangidae. The record is from the annotation of a GenBank genome assembly.